CCUACGGGGGACAGCAGUGAGGAAUAUUGGUCAAUGGACGAGAGUCUGAACCAGCCAAGUAGCGUGAAGGAUGACUGCCCUAUGGGUUGUAAACUUCUUUUAUAUGGGAAUAAAACGUUCCACGUGUGGGAUUUUGUAUGUACCAUAUGAAUAAGGAUCGGCUAACUCCGUGCCAGCAGCCGCGGUAAUACGGAGGAUCCGAGCGUUAUCCGGAUUUAUUGGGUUUAACGGGAGCGUAGGUGGAUUGUUAAGUCAGUUGUGAAAGUUUGCGGCUCAACCGUAAAAUUGCAGUUGAAACUGGCAGUCUUGAGUACAGUAGAGGUGGGCGGAAUUCGUGGUGUAGCGGUGAAAUGCUUAGAUAUCACGAAGAACUCCGAUUGCGAAGGCAGUUCACUGGACUGCAACUGACACUGAGGCUCGAAAGUGUGGGUAUCAAACAGGAUUAGAUACCCGAGUAGUC
This 460-nucleotide ribosomal RNA is filed under the name uncultured bacterium. RNAcentral describes it as "partial 16S ribosomal RNA". It matches the Rfam family "Bacterial small subunit ribosomal RNA", at positions 338 to 795 of the family's 1533-position model. The record is from RNAcentral.